UCCCAUCUUCCUCCAACCUACUAUAGUACUGAAAAAAAAUAUAGUAGAGUGGGGGAAGAUGGGACAC
RNAcentral lists this microRNA precursor (67 nucleotides) under Ciona intestinalis (vase tunicate). RNAcentral's name for it is "miRNA (ENSCING00000022088.1)". The record is from RNAcentral. Lineage: Eukaryota; Metazoa; Chordata; Ascidiacea; Phlebobranchia; Cionidae.